This is a non-coding RNA of Paralichthys olivaceus (Japanese flounder), 384 nucleotides long. Lineage: Eukaryota; Metazoa; Chordata; Actinopteri; Pleuronectiformes; Paralichthyidae. The record is from RefSeq and is a predicted model, not a curated record.
AGAACAGGAAAGCAGGAAGUGGUCCAGCAGACCAGUACAGCGACUCUGCUCUCCUUGACUCCCCUGAAUCAGAUGGUCGGAGGGUGAAGUCAACAGGAGAUGAAGCUGCACCUCCACAAGCUACAGAGCAGAGGAGCAGGAGACAGGGAGCAGAUGAGAUGUCUGCAUUCUUUGCCAGGCCGGUGAAGAUCCGCAAGAACAGAGUCCAGCCCAGCAUCUUUAAAAGAGCAGCACGGAAGAGGAGAGAGGAGGUGCGAGGAGCUGAGGAGGUGCAGGAGGAUGAGAAUACAGCUACAGAGCUUCCUGUUGACCAGAGAGUGGCAGAAAUAGUGGAGGAUGAAGAACUGAGCCACACAGACGGUCCUCUACACAGCACACAGCAGG